GUGGAAAGACACCCUCGUCUGCUGCGCGUCGGCCCUCCCGUCCGGCAUCUCUGGUCUCUGCUCCUCGCUCGCGAUGCCUCCUGUCUCGGCGCGUUAGCGCUCUGCCCCUUUGCCUCCUGCUGAUCUGCCCUGGGCUCCACUCAUCUGUCCCCUAUCCUCAAGAAUUUUAAAAGUCCCUUUGUUUUCCUGUCAGCUGUUUUGGUUCUCUUUUUGGCUGUCUUUUUAAUGACUCCCCUGGGAGCUGGUAAGGAAUCCGCCUGCAAUGCAGGAGACCUGGGUUCGAUUCCUGGGUUGGGAAGAUCCCCUGGAGAAGGGGACAGGCUACCGACUCCAGUGUUCUUGGGCUUCCCUUGUGGCUCAGCUGGUAAAGAAUCCGCCUGCAAUGCAGGAGUCCUGGGUUCGAUCCCUGGGUUGGGAAGAUCCCCUGGAGAAGGGAAAGGCUCCCCACUCCAGUGUUCUGGCCUGGAGAGUUCCGUGGACUGGAUCGUCCAGGGGGUCGCAAAGAGCUGGACACGGCUGAGCGGCUUCCACUCCCACUCCCCUCCUUGCUGGGAGUUACCCAAGGUGCUCGGCUUCUUUGGCUUAGAUGAGACCGUUGCCUCAGCUCGAAGGCUGCAUGAGCAGAGCAGCCUAAUGGAGGGUCCCCGCUCCCCUCGUUCGGUGUGCACGUGUUUUUCUCCCUCUCGUUGUGAGCUCGCGAGUCACUGGCUUUCAGUGGCCUCGUCCCACACUCGCCCUUUCAGAUGCGGUUCGUUUCUCCUGGAAACGUCUGUGCUCCCGUUGCGGGUCACGGUCCUUCAUUUCAGAGACUGUCCUGGAGUGGUUCUCGUAGGGACGACAUCCCCAGGCUUCAUUUCUGGUGCUUUCCGUCACAGGUGCUCAUUGAGCAGGGAUUCAGGGCAGCGGUCCCUCCCCGCGGUGCCUCAGAGGGGCCGUCCUGCCGUCUGCCAGCUCCCGCUUCCUCCUGCUCGAGGGCGCGGUCCUGCCCAGAGGCUCUCGUCCCUGAGCACCUGCUUCACGCGGCUUGUGCCCAUUUACACGAGGGGCACAGCCGGGGGCCCCGACGCCAGGGCCUUCAUCCCGCUGGGCUGGAGGACCGCGUGGCUUCUUAGAACAAGACGCUCACGGAAGCUCGUGCGCAGUGAGCCGAGCUCAGGGCCUCCUCAGCGUCUCCCCAAGACCAUCUCGCAAACCAACACUCCUCUCAGCAGGCCUGAGACUCAGCCUUCGCCUCCGCCCGCCUGGCGCUGGGUGGUGCUGCUCACUGUAGCGUUUUUCCGAGCCUUGAGAGCUGAGGAAGCUGCCAGCUCUGAGAGCCUGGAGGUCAGAGAGAAAGCCAGGCAGCCCGAAGUCCUUCCACCUUCGCCCUGGGCCAGACGGUGCUGA
Molecule: long non-coding RNA, 1386 nt
Filed under: Ovis aries (sheep)
Lineage: Eukaryota; Metazoa; Chordata; Mammalia; Artiodactyla; Bovidae
Description: lncRNA (ENSOARG00000026998.1)
Source: RNAcentral